RNAcentral lists this unclassified non-coding RNA (250 nucleotides) under Hevea brasiliensis (rubber tree). The record is from RNAcentral. Lineage: Eukaryota; Viridiplantae; Streptophyta; Magnoliopsida; Malpighiales; Euphorbiaceae.
AAAAUAUUAAAGGUUAAGAUAUGUAAUCUAAAAAUAAAAUAUUUAAUUAUAAUUAUUAAUUAGCAAAAAUAUUUAGCCUUUCUGUCUUUCUGUCUAGUAGACUAGUGUGAGUGUGUAGAUAUAUAUAUAUAACAAAAAUUUGGCCCUGAGGUCGUUAUGUGGUCCGAGCCUAAGGCGAGCCUCAAGGAAAGAGUUCAAGAAACAAUAAGAUUCAGUCAGAGCAUUCGAUUUCUAUGGCUGUGAAUUUUUA